This 72-nucleotide transfer RNA is filed under the name Acromyrmex echinatior (Panamanian leafcutter ant). Its description in RNAcentral is "tRNA-Gln". It matches the Rfam family "tRNA". From Rfam's summary of the family: Transfer RNA (tRNA) molecules are approximately 80 nucleotides in length. The record is from Rfam by way of RNAcentral. Lineage: Eukaryota; Metazoa; Arthropoda; Insecta; Hymenoptera; Formicidae.
GGUUCCGUAGUGUAAUGGUCAGCACUCUGGACUUUGAAUCCAGCGAUACGAGUUCAAAUCUCGGCGGAACCU